GACGAACGCUGGCGGCGUGCCUAAUACAUGCAAGUUGAGCGAUGAAGAUUGGUGCUUGCACCAAUUUGAAGAGCAGCGCACGGGUGAGUAACGCGUGGGGAAUCUGCCUUUGAGCGGGGGACAACAUUUGGAAACGAAUGCUAAUACCGCAUAAUAACUUUAAACAUAAGUUUUAAGUUUGAAAGAUGCAAUUGCAUCACUCAAAGAUGAUCCCGCGUUGUAUUAGCUAGUUGGUGAGGUAAAGGCUCACCAAGGCGAUGAUACAUAGCCGACCUGAGAGGGGGAUCGGCCACAUUGGGACUGGGACACGGCCCAAACUCCUACGGGAGGCAGCAGGAGGGAAUCUUCGGCAAUGGACGAAAGUCUGACCGAGCAACGCCGCGUGAGUGAAGAAGGGUGUCGGAUCGUAAAACUCUGUUGGUAGAGAAGAACGUUGGUGAGAGUGGAAAGCUCAUCAAGUGACGGUAACUACCCAGAAAGGGACGGCUAACUACGUG
This 497-nucleotide ribosomal RNA is filed under the name uncultured bacterium. RNAcentral's name for it is "partial 16S ribosomal RNA". It matches the Rfam family "Bacterial small subunit ribosomal RNA", at positions 28 to 507 of the family's 1533-position model. The record is from RNAcentral.